ACUACGAGGGUAUCUAAUCCUGUUUGCUCCCCACGCUUUCGUGCAUGAGCGUCAGUGUUAUCAGGGAGGCUGCCUUCGCCAUCGGUGUUCCUCCGCAUAUCUACGCAUUUCACUGCUACACGCGAAUUCCACCUCCCUCUGACACACUCUAGCUCGGUAGUUAAAAAUGCAGUUCCAAAAGUUAAGCUCUGGGAUUUCACAUCUUUCUUUCCGAACCGCCUGCGCACGCUUUACGCCCAGUAAUUCCGAUUAACGCUUUACCCUACGUAUUACCGCGGCUGCUGGCACGUAGUUAGCCGGUACUUAUUCUGCAAUUUUUAAGCCAGUUUUCGCACAGGGUGUUAUCCGUGCCGACUAACUUCCUGCCAAAAGUCUUUACAAUAACCCGAAGGCCUUCAUCGCACACGCGAGGUGGCUGGAUGGGGUUUCCCCAUUGUCCAAAAAUUCCCCACUGCGCCCCCCGUA
This 465-nucleotide unclassified non-coding RNA is filed under the name uncultured Bordetella sp. RNAcentral describes it as "partial 16S-23S ribosomal RNA intergenic spacer". Lineage: Bacteria; Pseudomonadati; Pseudomonadota; Betaproteobacteria; Burkholderiales; Alcaligenaceae. The record is from RNAcentral.